GACGAACGCUGGCGGCGUGCUUAACACAUGCAAGUCGAACGGACAGGCCCUGCUUUUGUGGGUGCUCGAGUGGCGAACGGGUGAGUAACACGUGAGUAACCUGCCCUUUACUUUGGGAUAACUUCAGGAAACUGGGGCUAAUACCGGAUAGGAGCUCCUGCUGCCUGGUGGGGGAUGGAAAGUUUGGGCGGUUGGGGAUGGACGCGCGGGUUAUCAGCUUGUUGGUGGGGUAGUGGCUUACCAAGGCUUUGACGGGUAGCCGUCCUGAGCGGGUGACCGGCCACAUUGGGACUGAGAUACGGCCCAGACUCCUACGGGAGGCAGCAGUGGGGAAUAUUGCACAAUGGGCGGAAGCCUGAUGCAGCAACGCCGCGUGCGGGAUGACGGCCUUCGGGUUGUAAACCGCUUUCGCCUGUGACGAAGCGUGAGUGACGGUAAUGGGUAAAGAAGCACCGGCUAACUACGUG
RNAcentral lists this ribosomal RNA (467 nucleotides) under uncultured bacterium. RNAcentral describes it as "partial 16S ribosomal RNA". It matches the Rfam family "Bacterial small subunit ribosomal RNA", at positions 28 to 507 of the family's 1533-position model. The record is from RNAcentral.